RNAcentral lists this ribosomal RNA (517 nucleotides) under uncultured bacterium. RNAcentral's name for it is "bacterial SSU rRNA". It matches the Rfam family "Bacterial small subunit ribosomal RNA", at positions 373 to 881 of the family's 1533-position model. The record is from RNAcentral.
GGACGAAAGUCUGAUGGAGCAACGCCGCGUGAGUGAAGAAGGAUUUCGGUUCGUAAAACUCUGUUGCAAGGGAAGAACAAGUAGCGUAGUAACUGGCGCUACCUUGACGGUACCUUGUUAGAAAGCCACGGCUAACUACGUGCCAGCAGCCGCGGUAAUACGUAGGUGGCAAGCGUUGUCCGGAAUUAUUGGGCGUAAAGCGCGCGCAGGUGGUUCCUUAAGUCUGAUGUGAAAGCCCCCGGCUCAACCGGGGAGGGUCAUUGGAAACUGGGGAACUUGAGUGCAGAAGAGGAUAGUGGAAUUCCAAGUGUAGCGGUGAAAUGCGUAGAGAUUUGGAGGAACACCAGUGGCGAAGGCGACUGUCUGGUCUGUAACUGACACUGAGGCGCGAAAGCGUGGGGAGCAAACAGGAUUAGAUACCCUGGUAGUCCACGCCGUAAACGAUGAGUGCUAAGUGUUGGGGGGUUUCCGCCCCUCAGUGCUGCAGCUAACGCAUUAAGCACUCCGCCUGGGGAGU